Molecule: long non-coding RNA, 98 nt
Organism: Maniola jurtina (meadow brown)
Lineage: Eukaryota; Metazoa; Arthropoda; Insecta; Lepidoptera; Nymphalidae
Exons: 3
Source: RefSeq, a predicted model, not a curated record
UUGAUUUAAAUCCGUAAAACAUAUAAAAUGUUUCUACUUAUGUCCGUUACAGACUUUGAAACAAUACAACCGAUGUAUCUAUCCCAAACCAGUUUUAU